ACCAGCACCUGGGGCGCCUCUGCCCCGAGCCCCCGCUCUUCUGCUGCAGGUGGGCCAGACCCCACGCCGACAUGCGUGUGCACCCCCCCGACACGCGUGUGCACCCCCCAACACGCGUGUGCCCCCUCCCCGGCCCCGCAGGCGGCUGCUGCUGCGCUUCCAGGACACGCUGGGCCACGAGGACGCCACGCGCCUGCUGGAGCUGGGCGCCCUGGUGAGCAUGGGACCCGCGCGGUGCGUUGGGCCGCGGUGUGCAACAGCACACGCGUGUUGGGGUGCCACCGGGACCAGCACACGCGUGCUGGGCCACAGCGCGCACCGGCACGUGCGUGUCGGGCCGUGUUGCAUGCUGCCACAUGCGUGCUGGGCUGCGGCGUGCACCGGCACACGCGUGUCGGACCGUGUUGCAUGCUGGCACCCGUGUGCUGGACCGUGACGCGUGCUGACACCCAUGUGUUGGGCCGUGCUGCACGCUGGCACACACAUGUUGGGCCAUGUUGCCUGCCAGCACACGCAUGUUGGACCAUGUUGCGUGCUGGCACAUACGUGUCAGGCUGCGUUGCAUGKUGGCACCCGCGUGUCGGGCCGUGUUGCAUUGUGACCCCCUGUGUGUCAGGCUGUGUUGCACGCCAACACCCAUAUGUCGGUCCGUGUCGCACCCUGGCACCCACGUGUCAGGCCACGUUGCACACCAGCACACACGUGUUGGGCUGUGCUGCACCCCAGCACCCGUGUGUCAGGCCAUGUCGCACCCCAGCACCCACACGUCGGGCCACAUUGCACCCCGGCACCCACGUGUCAGGCCGUGUCACACACCAGCACACGUGUGUUGGGCCAUGUUGCACCCCAGCACACGCGUGUCAGGCUGUGCUGCACCCCAGCACCCAUGUGUCAGGCCACGUCGCACCCCGGCACCCGUGUGUCAGGCCAUGUCACACACCAGCACACAUGUGUUGGGCCACGUUGCACCCUGGCACCCACGUGUCAAGCCAUGUCACACACCAGCACCCGUGUGUUGGGCCACAUUGCACCCCAGCACAUGUGUGUCAGGCCGUGUCACACACCAGCACCCAUGUGCUGGGCUGUGUCACACCAGCACAUGUGUGUCAGGCCAUGUUUCACCCCAGCACAUGCGUGUCAGGCUGUGUUGCACCCCAGCACCCACACGUCGGGCCACAUUGCACCCCGGCACCCGCGUGUCAGGCCAUGUCAUGUGCCAGCACACAUGUCAGGCUGCAUUGCACCUUGGCACACGUGUGUCAGGCCAUGUCACACACCAGCACCCGUGUGUCGGGCCACAUUGCACCCUGUCACCCAUGUGUCAGGCCAU
This 1330-nucleotide long non-coding RNA is filed under the name Apteryx haastii (Great spotted kiwi). RNAcentral describes it as "lncRNA (ENSAHAG00000005474.1)". The record is from RNAcentral. Lineage: Eukaryota; Metazoa; Chordata; Aves; Apterygiformes; Apterygidae.